Molecule: non-coding RNA, 28 nt
Filed under: Bombyx mori (domestic silkworm)
Lineage: Eukaryota; Metazoa; Arthropoda; Insecta; Lepidoptera; Bombycidae
Source: RNAcentral
UCAAACCUAGACGACUUACCUACAAAUA